UGUCUUUUCCUUUUUUAUUAUACACUAGGUUCUGGUCCGCGCUACGCGCGGAUAAUGUUUCAAUAUUUUUUUUGGAAAUAUUGAUUAUAUUUUAAAAUUUUGGUGUUUCAAUUGAUUAGAGGUAGAAACUAUUAUAAUUUAAUAUUAAAAUUAUUUUUAAGUUGAUAAAUAAUAAUAAAAAGUUACGUAAGAGUGAUGUUUUAAUUAAGAAUUUUUUUAGUUUUCUACUUUUCUUUGUUAUUAGUUUCUAUUUACAACAAUCUUUAAAAAUUGUGACAUUGUUUUCAUAUAUUAUGUUUUCUAAAAACAUCACAUUAGUAAUAGUAUAUUUUAAAAGUGUAACAGAUGUACUGUUCCAUUAUUUAAUUCAAAGUUGUUCAUUUAUAUAUAUUGAAAUAAUAUAAAGUUUAAGUGUAUAUUUGUAUGUCAUAUUUGUCAUUUAGUGUAGCCAUAGUGAUUUUUAUCGUUUUAUUGUUUUGGCUUAUUUUUAUUAUGCACUUUAACUUUUCUUAAAAUAUUAAUAUUUUCUAAUUGAGAGUUGUUAAUGAUAGACCAUAUUGAUUUGAAAUAUUUCUAUAAAAACUGUUUAUAUAUAAUGUUUAAUAUUUUAGUAAUGUGUAGAUAAAAGAAGUUAUCAUAUGAAUUUUAACUAACUUAAUUUUUUGAACAGAAUGAUUAGUACUCUUAACUAUUAUAUUUCUUUCGGUAGCAUAUUUGUAGUUUCUAUUAGUGAUUUUUUUUAAUUGGUUUCCAUAACAUGUAAUCUUUGGUAGAAUUCAUUGAGUUAGUAGAACUUAGUUUUUUGGUUGGUAUUUGUAGAUUUUUAUGAAAUUAAUCAGUGCUCUUACUGUUUUUUUCGUUUAAUAGUUUUUAGUUGUAUACUCCAGUAUAUUUUUAUAUGUAGAAACUAUUUUUAAAAUAAUGAGGAUACAUAACAAUUAAAAGGUUAUAUCAGCUAUCACAUAUUCAAAAGAAUGAUUAAAAGUUAAAAAACUUGACAUAGCUUUACAAAGGUAAUGGAUAUAUGUGUUUCUGAUUUGUUUCUAUAAUAGUUGUUUUUACUUGGUUGAUGUUAACUUUCUAAUGAGUUAGUAUUGAUAUCGAUUUAAUUUUAACAAAGCUUAUUUUGAACUAAAAUAUGUAGCUAUAUUUUCUUAUUCGGUGUAUUAGAAGCGUAUGAUUUUAUAAAUAAAAAUGAGUAUGCUUAAUAUAAUGAUUACUCGAAUCAUUUACAAUGUACAUUUUAAAUUUUAGUUUUAAAAUUACCCUUUUGCUUUAAAAUUAACAUAUAAUAUAAAUUUAGAACAUAUGAAUUUUCUUUUAAGAUACAAAAAAUUGUAAAAUGAAUUAUUUCAUUUUAUUAAAUUAAAAGGUAAUUUGAUCUUCUGUGUAUUAUUCUUAUUUGCCUAUUUAAAAAACUAUUAUAAUUUGAUGGAAAACAAUACAAUUUAGAAAUACAUAAAUCGUUAUAUAAACAGAUUAUAGAUACAAAUAUAAGAGAAUUAUAGAUAUUAACUUUAUUUAUUUGAGAAGUUAACAACUGAAACAUUAGAUAUUUUUUUUUUUGCAUAUUUUUUAAAGUAUAUCUCAUAUAUUUACCACAUUCAGAGUGUUGCAAAUAAAAGAUUUUGUCAACCUUCCUAGGAAUGAAGUAAUUCUAUGGGUGCCACAUGAGACAAAAUAUUAUCAAAUCUUUAUUAUUUAAAAUCAUUAAUUAUCAUAUAUAUUAUAAUUCCGUAUGUUCUAUUCAAGGAAAUAAUGAAUACUAUUUUUAUAUUAAUAAUUAAUUAUAUGAUUAGGGUUAAUGAACAGUAUAAAUAUGUUUAGAUGAACCAACUUAUUUUUCUAAGCUUGAUUUUCGUGAUGACAUGUGUCAUGGUUCAAAAGUUGUAAUGUUUCUCUUUUAAUAUGUAGGGAAUAUCUACGGAAAAAAAUGAUGUUCCCAAAAAUGUAAAAUAACGCAUUUCAAAUUUUCUGUUCAUUGAUAAUUAUAUCAUCUCAUUUAAGAUGUGUUUAGCACAAAAGGAAGGGUUUCAAUAUAUUUUACUUGAUAUAAAAUAAUAUACUCAAUAAUAUUUUAUCAGUUAUUCAAAAAAAAUCUAUGCAAUUUCUAUUGAAUAAUUUCUUCUCAUUUUACUUUCUAUUAACCGUCAAAACACAACACAAGUUCAUCUUUCAAGCAGUUAUCUAUUUCGUAUAGAAAGAGCGUAAUGGACGUCUUCAUUCAAAUGGACAUAAGCAACCUAUUUUGGUGAUUAGGGGGAGGCUGAGUGUUCUCUAGAUAUUUAGAUAAUUGGAAACUUUUUUUUAAAUUUAGAGUUGGACCGUCCGUGGUAUUUUAGUUUUUAGAAAUAUUCUCCACAUGUAUAAGGUUGGGCCGGAAUGGGGCAAGGUUGGGCCGGAACUUCAAAUUGGUUUGAGACUCAGCCUGUAGUGACAUGGCAUAUUGAUUGGUGGGAAAUAUUUCUGUCUAUGUGGCACCCCUUAGAAGCUCCUAAAAUAGUACCUUUUAUAUAGUAGGAUAUGUGUGUUUGAAAAUAAUUAAUUUCAUAUAUACAUUUCGUAAUUACAUACAUUAUACGGUAAUUAUUUUACUAAUUCCACAUAUACAUAAUAAAUAGUAUACAACAAUUUUAUUAUAUAUAGUCAUAAAAUUGUGAUCCACAAAAACAGUUUAUACAACAAUUUUAUUAUAUAUAAUCAUAAAAUUUUGAUCCAUAAAAAAUAAAAAUACAUUUGUGUGACUUUACACGUCAUAUUCUAAAUAAAUAGAUGAUAUAAUUUAGGAUUUACAUGAUAAAAUAAAACUACUCAAUACAAACUAUAAAACUAUUGUGUUUAGAAAUGUCAUAUUAAAAAAAAAAUUAAACGGGUAAAUUUUAAAAUAUAUAUUAUCACUUAUACAAAUAAAUAUUCAUUUAUAAAAAACUAACACCCGCGCGGGUGCGCGGAUCAAGCUCUAGUUUAUUUUAAAAUACAACACAUGGUUUUUUUUUUGAAGAGUCGAUUGGCUAAUAAUACAAAAAGAACUUGUAUAUUAACAAUCUGCUUCGACAGUAAAAUUUUGGUCCAAACAGUAUUGGAAAAGAGGUUAACUUGACCAUUUUAUCGCCAAGAGCUAUACUGUUUAGAAUAUUGAUUUUCUGAUAGGUAUUAUAUAAUGUCAGUAGAAAAUAUUGUAUAGAUUUUGUUUAGAUAUUAUUAGAUAUGUUAGAUUUUAAAAUUAAACAAAAUUUUCAUUUCUCUUCCUUUGUUGUCGUCGUCUUCUUUAUCCAUCUUUUUUCUCCUAUUUUUUUUCCUAUGAAUCUAAACAAAAUCAUACAAAAUCUAGUCCACCAGCUUGAUUUUGAACCAACAUACUUCAACAAGAUGAUUCAGAGUUCUCUCCUGAGUUCGGAGUUUACUCUGGUCAUUCUUUUGAUCCAACGAUGAAGACAAUAUGUUUAGAGAAAGUGGUGAAAGAAAUAUUUGGGGAACAAGACAUCCUAGUGCUCCACCUUGUUGUGCUUGAGAUGGGAUUUGCAGACAUAGAACUACAUCCUCCGGCAGGCAGUGGUGGUGUGCCGGGUAUUGAGAUAAUACAACUUUAUAAGGACAAUGAGAUGAUGGAAGUUGGCAUAGAGAGAGCACAAAAUGGUUCAACGUCGGAAGCAAUUAACGGUUAGUAGAAAAGUUAGCCAUAAAUAAACCACUUUAUUUUUUUUUUUUUCCUAAACCUGAUAUCCGGCUAAGUAUUAGUUUAUUGGAAUGAAAAUAAAUUGCUUAGACAUGAUAUAAACUGUGAUCAAAUUCAUAGUGUGUAUGCUUCCAACCGUUAUGUGAAGGUUAUUGUCGAAUGAGAAUACAUCCGUGUUUUAUGGUUAGGUGCAUGUGUCUAGCAAUCAAGACCAUGGCCUUCCUCUGGAUGUGAUCGCUUCAGGUGACGCACCAUGCUUAAAACGUGCAGGUCUGCCUUGUGGUGGUGGUCCAACCAUGGAGAACAUAAACUUCGGGUAGAUGUAGACAACUGGUCCAUCGUCGUUGAAGCUAACUUUGGCAUGCAGAGAAGUGGAAAAAACGUAGUGAAGUCAAAGGUUGGGGAAAUAUCAUCGGAAGGCAGCAACACCCAGGGGCGGGUGUUGAUUGGAGUCACCAUUAGUGCUUGGGAUUUAUUUUCUAAAUGUCUACGAGUUGUUGUAAAACGGUUAACAUAAAAUUUAGCCAGGGGUUACUAAGUUUUUAGAUCGUUAAACUUCUUAUAACCGUUUGUAGAAAAUAUUAGCGGUAUGUAAGUAAGUUAACAUGUUUUAAUGAUAUGGAUAUAUCUAAUGCAAAGAAUUCAAAGUUUAGCCAUGGAUAAACUUUUAUGUAACCAUUUGUAGAAACGAUUAGCGGUAUGUAAGUAAGUUAGCUCGAUUUUGUUAAGUUAAAUGUCUGGUGGUUAACAUAAGUGUCUUCAAGUAUACACAAUAAAUUAGCUGGUCAAGCAAAACCGUAUCCCCCUGAUGUAUACUAUAGACUAAAAUAAGGCGGGAUACUCUCAUUCAUCUCUGACAAAGAUGACCGGAUCUUUUCUUCACACCAACAAGAUCAUGCACACGAACAUAAGCUGUAACUAUAUCUUCCUUAGAGAGCCAUUCUCUACAUCUUCUCACGAAGACAGUAGUAGUCUACCUGAAGGAGACGCCAAAUAAACACACCACAACAAGAGUGAGGUUGAUGAAGACCGAACACAACUUGUAUCAAAAGAUGCACCACUCGGACUGCUCUAUAAAGACAGACGAGAUCUCGUUAAAUCCAUGUAAAAAAUAUGUGAGCGUUUGGUGGAGAUGAACAGUUCACCGAGCUGAAACGAGCAUCUCACUACAUCCGAAGACGUACGGUAGCUGCAAACAAGAGAAACCAAACAAAAAGAGAGACGAUGAAUCUUUGCUUUUAUCGACACAUUGCAAAUCAAAACAAAUCCAUGUGAGACAAAGAGAGACAGAGAAGAUCUCUCUUUUCGUUGUAAUUAAAACAAGUCACUGUCGUAGAACCACCAGAACUGAUAAAUUCUUGGAAGAAGAUGAAGCAGACGAAAUUUUUUGUGGGAAUAUGUUUUGGGUGAUUAAUAAAGAAGAUUCACUUCGUCGGUCAAAAGGAGAUGGUGAAGGAUAGGGAAAUCUAAAUAAAAUCUACUUAAGAGAUUACAUAAUCUCAUAAGUCAUAGACCGUAGAUUAUAUUGAUAGGGGCAGGAGUGUCUUUAUUUUUUGUUCAACAGUGCAACACAGUGAUUUAGAGUAUUCGCCUAAUUAUGGAGUAAGUGAUGUGUAGAGGAUGCAAUUUCUCUUCUUUUUUUUUGAUAGAAUAUCAAAUUUAUUGAUCAAAACUUCACAUUUACAAGUAAAGAUUAUGUACUCUGUUUAGCUAGGAGCAGAUGAAAGAAUGAGAAAAAAAUAACCCUCUCUAUGCCUAAGGAACUUUCCUACUCCCCAUAACUAGUUGACCUCAAACCAUCUUCUCAUCAUGCCCUCCAACGGAUGGCCAUUGGUGUACCGGAGUGAUGUUAUUUAUCAAUGUUUCUUGUGAGCUGCUCAGUUGUGAUCCACACACCACCAUGCCUCCGCGAGUUGUGUUCCCUCCAAAUUGAGUAGAUGACUGUUUGAAAGGCCAUCUUCCUAAGAAUGUAAUCGAUCCGAGUACGAGCCUGUCGCAGGAGAGAGCUGGCAGUAUCGUUCCAAUCUGGGGUAAUGGCGUUUCCAAACAGCUUCUCUGCAAUGUUAAGCCAGACCGUGAAGGAGAAAGGACAGGCAAAAACCAGGUGAUCUUUUGUUUCGUUUCCAAUACAUGGUUUUUUUAAAAUAUCAAUACGACACAUGGUUAAUGAUCAUAAAUAUUUGGGUGCAAGAUCCCAAUAGAACUUAACAAUUAAACGUGUUUGAACAAUAGUACUCUAAUUUACCCUAGUUACAAAAAUUUUGUUUAAACUGUUCCACUUAUUCCCUCUUUUACUUUAUUCCUUUCUUACCCUUUUUUUCUUAUUUAUUUUCAAAUGUUGCGGAACUCACCAUUACUCUUUUUUUCUUCUUUUUUUUCGGUGGAUCCAGAUUAUUUUUUCCAUUGACCCGAUAAUUUUUUAAAAUUUUUUUAGUGGAUCCCAUAUUUGUUUUUCCAAAUCACUUUAACUUUUUUUUUUUUAAUUUGUUAAUGAUCAAUAUAGCUAAACAUUAUGAGAAAAAAAUAAAAAAUGUUUAUCUUAAAAUAAUAUUUUAUAAAUAACUAAAUGAAAAAGAAAUUAUUGAAAUAAUAUUUUUCAUAAUGAAAAUAAACAAUUAAUUUCAAAAAUAUUUAUAGAAAUUAUUUCAAAAAUAACUCAAAAGUGAAAAUUUAAUAAAAUAUAUAUCUAGAUAAUAUUUUAAUCAACAUUUAAUUUUGAAAAUAAACUUAAUAAAAUAUUUAUAUAAAUUUGAGUUACAUUAAAUAUUUGCAAAAUACAAAUUAAAUAAACAUGUAUUUUAAUUAUAUUUUAAUCAGAAAUUAAAUUCAAAAUAAAUUUAAUAUAAAGUUAUUUAAAUUAUUUUCCUUAAUUUAAGUUUGUAUAUAUUUUAUAUAGCCUUCAAAUUUCAAAAUAAGAUAUUUCAUAUUUUUACUAUUUAUAUUUGUAAUUAGAUUAACAAUCUAUAUAAGUUAUAUAUAAUAUUCUCUUUGUUCAUAAAAGGUAAUUUUGACACUUUUUAUUGUUAUGUAAAGAUUAUGAUUUAAGAUUCUAAUUUAGUUAUAUCUAUUUUUACUUUAAUAUUAUUUAGAAAAUGCUUUGAUUUUAUAAAUAUUUUAUUUGUCUAAUCACUGCCCGAAGCGACAAAUUUUUUUUUUGAAACUAUGUCUACAAUUGCUAAUAGUUUAUUGUAAUAGAACUACAGAACAAUUUUUUUGGUCAUCUGAAAUGUAUAGAGAAAAUUAUCAGUAAAAAUGUAUAGAGAAAAUGUUUUUAUUUAGUUAUUUACCCAGAUUUUUAGGAAAAAACAAACAAUUGUUUCCAUAUAUUUUUUGGUUUCUUAAACAAACCAUGUUUUCAAUCUUAUAUCAGUUUUUGCUUAUCCAUAUCAAUAUUAAAGAGGCUAUGUUUUAUAGUUGUUUAACAUAAGAUCUAGUUAAUGAAAAGUAAUCAUAAUUUUUUUUUUAAAGAUGUGCUAGGCCAAUGAUUAUUUCUUUCUCCUGUGAGCACAGAUGUUAUAAACUUAGGGCAUGAUUAACACCGGUCUCUUUGCCGAAGUUUUUUAACUUAUGAUUUGAUUUUUUUUUUGUUUUUUUUACAAUUUUCAGCUAAGAGACGUCUCUUAUAUCUCUUAUUUAAGAGACGGUUCUUAACUUUUCUUAGUUAAAAUCUAAGAAAAACUAAGAACCAUCUCUUAGCCGAAGCUUAGAACCCCAGUUAAGAGACUGAGGUUAAUGAUGGUAUUAGUUACCAAAGAUAGGAUAUCAUAGCUUUUUAUAUAUAAAAAUGAUGCCCUAAGCGACAGUUUCUUUUUCCCUCAUGUGGGCCCAGCUCUGUACUUAAACUACUAUGUGUGAACUACAAUGUACUACUUUGAACUAUCUUAAACUAUCUUAAAAAAAAACCUUGAAUUACUAUGCAUUAUGCAUGUUUCUAAGAAUAUUAAUUUUCGACUUAUUAUUUAUUUUUAGAAUAUGUAUCUCAUAUAUUACAUGAUUAUAUAUGUUUCACUACAAGAAAACACAAGUUUAGCGAGGAAACUUAACGAAGAAAACUAAUCCUCGUAAAUUUACGUCGACUUUACGAAGAACUUACGAGGAAAUAUAAAAUCAGCGUUAUUUCCUCGUUAGCAUCCCGAUUUGAUGGUGCCUCCGAGUGCUCCUUACUCGCAGUACACUGUCGAGGACCUUCUCGGUCAGCGAGGCAGAGAAGGUUUACCAGUCAUAGAUCCCGACCGACCGGACAGAACUUUAUGGUAUGUUACAUUAUAUAUUUUUUAUUUCUCUUAAAACUCUUUUAUAACAUUAAUAAAUAAUUUAUACUUUAAAUUUGUUUUUUACAGGUUUGGGGUUGACGGAUGUCUUGCAUCAGACAUAGACGACACGAUCAAAGGUUACUUCUCCAUGCCACAUCCAAACUGGAAAAGACGCCGAUCUACGUCAAAAAGACGCCGAUCUACGUGGUUCACAAUUUACGCUAUAAGUUACUAUUAAUUAAUUAAUUUAUUUUUUUACAGCAAAAAUAUCAUUGGUCCACGGGGGUCAAUGAGAGGGUGAGGAAAGCGUUUUAUGCGAAGGAGAAAGUUUGCUUCUUGGACACGGUCUCCAACUGGAAGGGUGACUAGAUCGUGAAGGGGUAUGAGCGUGGCAAACCCGCUGAGCUCACCACGGAUGUGUGGGAUGGCCUCAUCUGUUAUUGGCGGGAUCCUGACUCCAUUAGAAUCGUUUGGUCUUGCUCUGCCUCCCGUAACACGGUAGAUGUGCACGGCCACGGGCCGAUGCUUCACUCUACAGACCAAAAACCCCCCACGCCAGUGUCCGUUUGUAAAUGGCAAUUAAAUAUUUUAUUUAAUUAUUUUUUUAAUAUAUAUAUAUUCUAACUUUCUUAAAUGUUUUUUAGGCCAAAAAGACGGAACAAAUCCCGUCUCUUUUGCAACUUUACGAGAGGACCCGCAAGAACAAGGCGGGUCAAUUUCUAGAUGGCAAGUCCGAGCAAAUUUUCAACGACUUCGUUGCUCAGGUUGACGACCGCCAGACCCAGCUGACCCAGCAAUCCACCAACGGAUUACCCGUCACCUUAUCCACACUUGAUGUGGAUAGGAUUUACGAGGAGGUAAAAUUUUUAAAAUUUUAAUUUUUUUAUUAUUCAUUUAAUUUAACUAUAAAUAUUUCUAACAAUAUUUUUCUUUUGUUUUUAAAGUUGUCCCUAAGAAAAAGGGACAUACAUUGGGGAUUGGUUCUGUCAACGAUGUUCCGAGAGCGACAUCGUCUUAUGGUCAGAGACGAGUCCACUCAGCUGCGUAAAGAGUCCACUCAGCUGCGUAGCGAGUUGGGGAAGAUGAAGUCACUCAGCUGCGUAAAGAGUCCACUCAGCUGCGUAGCGAGUUGGACUUGACGCGAUCUGCGUUCACAGCUCGUGUGGGUGGAGUCGAGGGCUUCUUGGACGUUAUAGCAGCCACAAAUUCGGAAUGGGAGUCCUUGUUGAGGAACAUGCGACGACAAAAUCCCAUUCCAGGCGAGUCAUCAUCCGACACACAUGCCGAGGCAGAUGUAGAGAGGAGUGAUGAAUUCUACUGGGCCAUGAACGAUCCUUAGUUCUUUUUUUCGGUUGUUGAAUUAAAAAUUCAAAACUUAUUUAUAUAUAAAAUAUUUUCGUAUUUAUUUUUAUUUUAAAUUAUAAUUUUAUUAAUAAAUUAAAUAUUUUUAAUUAUUUUUUUAAUUAUUAUUUUUUAAUUCUAUAAAAAAAAAACGAAGUAAAUUCGUAGCUAAAUUACAAAUUAUUUACGUGAAAAGUUUACGAGGAAAUGACGAGGAAGGUUAAACGAGUAUUUUACGAGGAAAUACUUUCGAGGUAUUUACGUGUACUUUACGAGAAAAUACUUUCGAGAUAUUUGGGUGUAGUUUACGAGGAACUCCUUUUGAGUUACUUACGAGGAAAUAUAGCGACCUCCUUAUGUGGAAUAGUUACGUGGUCUUUACGAUGAAAUGAUACCCUUCGUCUCUACGACGAAAUGUUUUCCUCGCUAAGUUACGACGAAUUGGCGAGGAAAUAUGUGUUACGACGAACGAGUAACGACGAAACGUGUUUCCUCGCUAAUUCCUCGUAAAGCCUCUUUUACGACAAACUCACGAGGAAUACUGCCGUCGUUAAUCUUAUAUUUUCUUGUAGUGUAUAUGUGUUUAUUUGUCAAAAUUAGACAUAAAGUACUCUUAAUUUCUCAAGUUCAUAGAAAACUUCUCAUUUCCAUACAAAACAUUUUUUUAUUUCCAUACUAAUAAUGUCUUGAAUGAAAGACCAUCUUGAAAUGAAUAACAGAAAAUACAUAUUUUCUGAAUUUGUUUUCUACAAAUAUGUUAUAUACAAUCUAAAACUUUCUAAAUAUGUCGGCAUUACUAAUAAAUUUGAUUUUUUGAUGUUGUAUUACUAAAAAUGUUGUAAUUUGCAAAAGUAUUACUAUGAAGAAGGAAAUAUUACUUCUUUUUUCCGUCAGCAACAUAAACAGAAUCAUGUAGACUCUGCAAAACAGAUUGGUAGCUUCGCAUCCAUAUGGACUACAACAGACGAUUGCUUUCUUGCACUGCGUGCAAAGCUGUCCGCCCUUAAAUUCUGCGUCCGUGGGACAUGAAUGAGCUCUGAGCUGUGAAAACUUGCAAAGGCUGGCUAUUCUUCUGGUUCUGAAACCAUCUUCACCAACUGAGAAUAAUCCGUUGCAAAUGUAACUGUAAACGGUCUUAAAUUCCUCAUACACUCCAUUGCCCAAAUAAGCGCUUCCAUCUCUGAAUGAAGUGGCAAUUCACUAGCUCUUGUAUUGCUCGCUCCUAUUAAACCAUCAAAACCUUCGAGUGUACUAUACCACCCUUGUCCCAAAUGGAAAUCUUGAUUUUUCCAUGAUCCUUUCGUAAAACACCAUCGACCUGCGAUAUCCGGUACUAUCGCUUGUACUGGUAAUCUAGUUUGCUCGAUUCCUUUUGUUAGUAAGAUCUGCGCCUCCACCCAAAGUAAAGACUCUGUUUCUGCCAAUUUGAGAGUAUCUCUAGGAUCCAUGUCCAAAUUACUAAAGACCUUGUUGUUUCUUUCCUUCCAUAUAUACCAUAAGAUCCAUGCAAAUUGAUGAUCUUCCAAUUCCGAAGAAAUCUUCCAAAAUAAACAAUCCAUGUUCGAAAAAAGUGAUUGAGUAGGAAAGAUGUCUGGAUUGGAGGGAAUUCAAGAGAGUGCUCAAACCUAAACCGCCGGUGGACAUUCAAAAAAUACAUGUUUUAUUAGUUCCCCGUAUGCUCCACAUUAUGAACACAUCGUAUCCCCCUGCACUGGAAAUAUUACUAAAACCUUGAGUACUACUAAGUUAAUAUAUUUAAAAAAUUUGUUCUCUCCUUUUAACACGUUUUAUACAUGUUUUUUUAUUGAAAAUUUUACCACUUUUUGACAUUUUUUUUUGUUAAAAUUUUCAACAUGUGGUAGACAAUUUUUUUUUUCAAUUUCUUACACUUUUUAGACAAAGUCUUAUUUGUCUUCUUAGCUGAGCCAGUCCUAGAAGUGUAAAGGCUGAAAACAAAAGGUAAACAUGUGGCCACUUUUCAAAGGAAAAAACAAAGGAAAAAACCAAAAAAUAAAAUUGUAGCUACUGGUUGUCGAAUCCAUGAACUAAUGGAAGGUUGGCCAUAUAAACUUCCACUAGACUAAGGAGAAUAUUUGAAAAAAAGGGGCCGAAAAUAGUCUAUAAAUUAAACGGCCGCAUGCGUGUGCUUCUUUAGCUUUGUACAAGGGCCGGCCCUGCUUCUUAGUAAUACCUAUCGAACAUGUUACCUUCAUAGAUUAUAAAACAAUAAAGGUAGUUGGCUAACCAAAAAAAAUGCGGAAAAAUAUGAAAAGAUAACAAAACGAAUUUAUAGAAAAGGUAGAUCUUAUUUCGAAUCCACGUAAGAGCGUUGCGAUCAUUACAAGAGAUUAUAAAAGCUUCAGCCGCAAGAGCUGUCAGCGAAUUACCUAGUUCUAGCAACCUAAAACCUAGUUGAAUCGCAGCUCGAUAACAGAAGACGAAAAAGAUAUGAAAACGGUUUUGAUUGAUUUCAGAUUGAACCUUAUGAGAGGCUGCCUACCUACCCCUUUCGAGGAUCAAGUCGAACGUAGUUCAAGAGUGAACGAAGAGAUCAAACUGCUUGUGGCGUUCGUCUGGUAAUCGGGUGCCAGUCAUAGAAACAGAGCAUGUUGAGAAUAUUGCCUCAAAGUUUCUAAGUGCCGGGAGUUUGCUGUGUCUCUCCUCCCCUUUGCCUCUCACCUAAGACUCCUUAUAUACUUACUCCUAGGUCGGUUUGCGCCUUUCCCCUUCUACCCUUAAGCCGUCAUAGCUCAAACAUUGACAUAUUCAAUUUUCCCGAUCUUCGUGAUUAUCUUGGAAACUUCACUUUUAUCCGCGGAAACUUGACAUUUAUCUUGUCUUACGCACCAAGCAUAAACCGUCAUAAGGCUUAUGGGUACUCAGUUAGGAAAUCGUAAGUGGGCUUCGAGUUGCGUUUUAGGUCUCUUUGGGCCAUCUUUGACUUGGAACGUUUAUUAUGGUUUCUUCGAUAAAAACAAACUUCCCGCGGUUUUUAUCAUAAAGUUUGACUGAUGACUUUGACUGAUGAGAAACAAAUAAAGGUUUAGCCAUGGCCUACGGGAGAUAGCAUUAAAGAGUAGACGAGAAUGCAUGGAUUUGUGUUGUAUCGACGUUUUGGGAAAGUUCUGUCGCUACGUAGCGACCGAGCUUGGCUUGAGCUCGGUCGCUAUGUAGCGACCGAUCCGUGUUAAUGCUCGGUCGCUACGUAGCGACCGAGCCGUGUGCGUGCUCGGUCGCUACAUAGCGAACGAGCUUGGCUUGUGCGUGGUCCGAUGGCCAUACUUGAACUUGUCCGUGGCCGAUUUGGAUACGUGUAUGUUGCCUUCGGAUAAUCGGUAUUUUAGUGGUUCGAUUGAGAUUAGAACAAGAUUUUACCGCGAGGCUCUUCGUAAAAACGUGCAUGCUGAUUUUUAUGGAAUUUCAAACAUUGAUUCCGUCAUGACCGAUUUUGACCCCAACAGUUAGCCCCCCAGCUCGUUAGAACCAUGAGCUUCUAGCGUGAGGUUCUAGCGGGUGGCUUGGCAAGUUGGGCAAGUUAGGUGAGUUAGGCGGAAUUAAUGGUUGAAAAGGUCCGUGGUAAAUGGUCUUCUCGCUCUUCUAAAAUUGGAACGCAAUAAGAUUGGGGCUGCGCGUUAUGAUGGCUGCCUACGUACCCUUGUUGAAGGGAUCAAGCCUUUCGUAGUUCGUCUUGGAGUUAAGAUUCUUAUGACUAGUUUUUCAGCGAGACCUUUACGGUCUAGUUUAUAUGUAGAGGUUAUCUGGUGUGUUGCUGACGAUGGCAUUUUAUAUGGGUGUAGAGGGAAGACUACGAGUUGUCAUCUCGUAAUCUAACUCUGUGUGAACUGCUAUAUCUGUGAUCUGUUUCGAGAGUUUUCCGCAGUGUGUAAACUUGCGGGAUUUAUGAAGACGCUCGAAUAUUGUCCAAGAGACAAAUUUUGGGAUCUCGUAUCAGGGCGUUUGAUACUAUGCCUAGAGAUGUUAGAGACCAGUGUGCUACGUUUAGGGUAAGACCUAGCUCUAGUCACGACUUUAGGGGGUGCGUUGACUACUUCGACUUACGUUUUUCGUAUCGUUUUCGACUUGAUUCCAUUCGGCUUUAAAGUCCGCGAUAUGUUCUCGGCUUACGUGACUUGUAUGGUAGGAAUCGAGCAUCUCUUCGAGGACAAUUUUUAAGUCUCUCGAAAGUGCUGACCAAAAUUUCGGAUUUUUUUAUAUAGCGCUAUUACCCUUGUGUCGGGUGUACGAGAUCUAUCUAUACGAAUGGUUAAGUCUGUUUAGGACGUUAUGAGUUUGUUGUUAUUAACAACAAACUUAUCGGUAGAUAUUACCAUUUUUGAGUCUUCGCGAAGAAUACGUGUUUAAGGAGAUGUUAGUAUGUAUGAUUGUUUGGUCUUCCAAGAAGGUGUCUUUAUCGAGGAAGGUAAUUUUGUCGAAAAAUGGUUCUUCAGGCGUCUGCGAUGUCUCGCAAUACUGAAGAUUUUGUUCUUUUGUAUGCCGCUUUUCGUGCUUGAAAUGUUCGCGGGCUUGAAGAUGUUCCGCGAUAUUGCAAGGGUUUAGUCUUAGCCCUGCAUUUGAGAAACAUUAUGGUCUGUCUACGGAUGUUCGUAGCCAUAAUUGUUGUUCAUGUUUGGAUGCUAAUAAUUUGAUUUGCGAUCGAGGAAUUAGGACUGAGGGGUCGCGUAAAUUUGUCCAUGGGAAGAAGCGUUUUCCUUCAUAGUGCUUUGUGAAGCGUCGGCUUCCGAGAUCUAUUUUGUGCAUUUUUGAGGAUGUUUCGUAUAGCUCUAGAAGCUUUGUUACAAAUUUUUCCUUACAUGUCGCGUAUUAUGGGUAAAACAUAGCGGGUUUAAAGUGAAUUGUGGAAUGUAUCGAACUUAGUCGAUUGUCGAUAAGUUUUGGUUUUCUGUUAACCGUUUGGUUGUUAGGACUGAGUUUCGUUACGAAGAAUUUAUCAUAUGAUUUCUGACUGUGGGUUAUACGAUAAUUAUUUUCUUAAUAGUCUCACGACGUUUUUAGAUAAAUCAUUGAUUGUACAAGGGCCGGCACUGUUUCUUAGUAAUACCUAUCAAGGGCCGACACUGCUUCUUAGUAAUACCUAUCAAACAUGUUACCUUCAUAGAUUAUAAAACAAUAAAGGUAGAUGUCUAACCA
This is a long non-coding RNA of Brassica rapa (field mustard), 14418 nucleotides long. RefSeq lists it as uncharacterized. Lineage: Eukaryota; Viridiplantae; Streptophyta; Magnoliopsida; Brassicales; Brassicaceae. The record is from RefSeq and is a predicted model, not a curated record.